This 610-nucleotide ribosomal RNA is filed under the name Pseudomonas putida. Its description in RNAcentral is "bacterial SSU rRNA". It matches the Rfam family "Bacterial small subunit ribosomal RNA", at positions 30 to 633 of the family's 1533-position model. Lineage: Bacteria; Pseudomonadati; Pseudomonadota; Gammaproteobacteria; Pseudomonadales; Pseudomonadaceae. The record is from RNAcentral.
UUGACGCUGGCGGCAGGCCUAACACAUGCAAGUCGAGCGGAUGACGGGAGCUUGCUCCUUGAUUCAGCGGCGGACGGGUGAGUAAUGCCUAGGAAUCUGCCUGGUAGUGGGGGACAACGUUUCGAAAGGAACGCUAAUACCGCAUACGUCCUACGGGAGAAAGCAGGGGACCUUCGGGCCUUGCGCUAUCAGAUGAGCCUAGGUCGGAUUAGCUAGUUGGUGGGGUAAUGGCUCACCAAGGCGACGAUCCGUAACUGGUCUGAGAGGAUGAUCAGUCACACUGGAACUGAGACACGGUCCAGACUCCUACGGGAGGCAGCAGUGGGGAAUAUUGGACAAUGGGCGAAAGCCUGAUCCAGCCAUGCCGCGUGUGUGAAGAAGGUCUUCGGAUUGUAAAGCACUUUAAGUUGGGAGGAAGGGCAGUAAGCUAAUACCUUGCUGUUUUGACGUUACCGACAGAAUAAGCACCGGCUAACUCUGUGCCAGCAGCCGCGGUAAUACAGAGGGUGCAAGCCGUUAAUCGGAAUUACUGGGCGUAAAGCGCGCGUAGGUGGUUCGUUAAGUUGGAUGUGAAAGCCCCGGGCUCAACCUGGGAACUGCAUUCCAAAAC